GAAGUAUGGAGAGGACAUGGUUGUUAUGUAUGAAGUAUGGAGAGGACAUGGUUGUUAUGUAUGAAGUAUGGAGAGGACAUGGUUGUUUGUGUAUGAAGUAUAGAGAGGACAUGGUUGUUAUGUAUGAAGUAUAGAGAGGACAUGGUUGUUUAUGUAUGAAGUAUAGAGAGGACAUGGUUGUUUGUGUAUGAAGUAUGGAGAGGACAUGGUUGUUUAUGUAUGAAGUAUAGAGAGGACAUGGUUGUUUGUGUAUGAAGUAUGGAGAGGACAUGGUUGAUUAUGUAUGAAGUAGAGAGAGGACAUGGUUGUUAUGUAUGAAGUAGAGAGAGGACAUGGUUGUUAUGUAAGGUUGUAUGUAAGGUUAGCAGUGUGGUUAUAGUUAGGGGUAAGGUUAGCAGUGUGGUUAUAGUUAGGGGUAAGGUUAGCAGUGUGGUUAUAGUUAGGGGUAAGGUUAGCAGUGUGGUUAUAGUUAGGGGUAAGGUUAGCAGUGUGGUUAUAGUUAGGGAUAAGGUUAGCAGUGUGGUUAUAGUUAGGGAUAAGGUUAGCAGUGUGGUUAUAGUUAGGGGUAAGGUUAGCAGUGUGGUUAUAGUUAGGGAUAAGGUUAGCAGUGUGGUUAUAGUUAGGGAUAAGGUUAGCAGUGUGGUUAUAGUUAGGGGUAAGGUUAGCAGUGUGGUUAUAGUUAGGGAUAAGGUUAGCAGUGUGGUUAUAGUUAGGGAUAAGGUUAGCAGUGUGGUUAUAGUUAGGGGUAAGGUUAGCAGUGUGGUUAUAGUUAGGGAUAAGGUUAGCAGUGUGGUUAUAGUUAGGGAUAAGGUUAGCAGUGUGGUUAUAGUUAGGGAUAAGGUUAGCAGUGUGGUUAUAGUUAGG
Oncorhynchus keta (chum salmon) is the source of this 864-nucleotide long non-coding RNA. RefSeq lists it as uncharacterized. The transcript is spliced from 5 exons. Lineage: Eukaryota; Metazoa; Chordata; Actinopteri; Salmoniformes; Salmonidae. The record is from RefSeq and is a predicted model, not a curated record.